RNA transcript from Nerophis ophidion (straightnose pipefish), 2024 nucleotides. It is a transcript of the gene named zinc finger and SCAN domain-containing protein 31-like, with no coding region annotated. Lineage: Eukaryota; Metazoa; Chordata; Actinopteri; Syngnathiformes; Syngnathidae. The record is from RefSeq and is a predicted model, not a curated record. The transcript has 2 exons.
UCGUGAAAGCACAUCGACGCAGAAUGAAGCGAGCAGGACGCUAAUAAGUCAGUUUUAUUAUUUGUUCUCCAGUUUGAAAUAUUUACGUCGUAUAAAAUACGUCUUUGAUUUUUUAGUAAAUGAUAAAGUCGUCUCGAUGCGCUAGAAGCACUGUGCCGCUUCUCGUGCUAUCUUUGCUGGUUAGUUGGCUUAGCUCGCUAGUUAGCUUAGCUUGUUAGCUGCUAACAGAAGACACAGAAGUUAUCAACUCAUCGCUAAGUAGGGAUCAUGUGUGAGAGUAAAGUGUUGUGAUUGUGUGAAAAUGUCUACAUUACAAAUGUUGAGAGCGUUUGUGGAUCAGCGACUAACUGCUGCCGUUGAAGAAAUAUGUGUAGUGUUAGAAAGAACGAUAGCAGAAUACGAGGCGGAACUUUCUGGAACAAUAGAGGAUUACAAUCAACUACUGGACGCUGUUGUCAAGAAACAUCAAGUUGUGUUACACAGAACAGACGUGCCGUGGUGGAUUCAGAACUCUCCUCUACUUGGCCAGUUGGUGGGAUAACUUCAUCCAUGGAAGCAGCAGCAGUGGUUGACGCUGAUGUUGACGUUUCUGUAGGUCCAUGCCGCAGUAGUGUUCUUCUUCUUUUCACACCAACUGUUGAUGUAUAGCCCAUUUCUAACAAUGGCAAAGGGUGGUCAUCCGUUGGUUUACCAUGCAAGAAAUAAUAACUGCAGAUCUGUGAGUCUUUUGUAGGCUUCCAGUCCACCCACUUGUUAUUAGCCUUCUUACAUUUCCUAUUAACGGCCUUAAUCCAUCUUAUUUUCAUGUCUGGAUCUUUUGGAAAUGGCUACUGUUUGAAUGGUGGAUCACAAACACAUCUUCCUGAGUCAAAAUAACUCUCAUCAAUGUCACACAUAGUUUGUUUCCAUCUUGUGAGGUGAUAUGUACUAUUAGAACAUCUCACAACUGAGCAAAUUGUUUUCGGCAUAUUGAAAAAUAUACAUGAUGCGGAAUAAACAAUCAUUUAGAAAUAUAUCUACUACUGUUCACGUUAAAGAGUAAACACAAACCACAAACUGACAAAGUUUACUAAAAAAGUAUGGAGUCGCUUGGCUUUGAUUAUCCCUCACGAACUUUGACCUCGACAAAUUGGACAUGUGCAGAAGCCAACAUGGAAGUGGUCCAUUCAAAUAUCGGAAGAGAUCACCAAUGCAAAAGAGAGCAAAAAGAAGCCUUAGACACAAUUAGUCAUAGCAUCUUAAUAAACAAAUUAGAACAGUAUGGAAUCAGAAGGUUGGUCUUGAACUGGGUUAGAAGCUACUUAACCAACAGGAGGUGUACAAAAAGACUGCCUCUGUAAUGCUUGUUUUCUUUUUGUGUCAUCGGGUUGCUUGAGUGUAGAUCACUUUUACGACACUGGAGGGGGCAUUGAAUGCAUCAUUGCAUCAGCAGGCUCUGAAAGUUACUGUGAACUUCAAAGUCAAUUGUUUAAUAGGCUGAGGAAAUUACUUUAUAUACACUUUAAUAUCACUUUUGUGCUUAAAACUGUAUUGCAACUCAUUUGAUCUGUUUUAUUGUAGUCUAAUGGCUGUUUGGCAUCAAAUUGACAAGCUAACUGCGAGCUGAAUAUCAUACCCUGGUUGGGGCCUGUUUGUAGCAUUGGACAUGUUUGUUAGCCCCAAGUUACAAUUUACAUUUAUUGUUGUGAUGCUAUUUACAUUCUAUUACUCAUUACAUUACUUAGGGCUGGGAUGUUCAAAUCCUGUGCAUUUAUGUACACUGUGUAUACCCAGCUAAGUGAUGUAUAUUUAACAGCCUUGUCGCAGGUUUGUGCCUAUAUUUCAUUGCAUUGUGGUAACUUCAGUUCAGGGGUCUCAAACUCACUGGAUGCAGAGUCUGGAUGAGGCUGGGCCGCGAGAAAAGAUUUCUUUAAAAAAAAUGUUGCAUACUCCUCAGCAUGUCUAGUUGUAUAAUGACGUUUCAAAUGGUAUCCCUUGUGCAUUGUAACUUUCUCUGUGCAAAUAAAGAAAUAUUGCAUCUCCCA